UACAGAGGGGGCAAGCGUUGUUCGGAAUUACUGGGCGUAAAGGGCGCGUAGGCGGCCUGCUAAGUCGAACGUGAAAUCCCUGGGCUCAACCCAGGAACUGCGUCCGAUACUGGUUGGCUUGAAUCCGGGAGAGGGAUGUGGAAUUCCAGGUGUAGCGGUGAAAUGCGUAGAUAUCUGGAGGAACACCGGUGGCGAAGGCGACAUCCUGGACCGACACUGACGCUGAGGCGCGAAAGCCAGGGGAGCAAACGGG
RNAcentral lists this ribosomal RNA (253 nucleotides) under uncultured bacterium. RNAcentral's name for it is "partial 16S ribosomal RNA". It matches the Rfam family "Bacterial small subunit ribosomal RNA", at positions 524 to 776 of the family's 1533-position model. The record is from RNAcentral.